AAAUACCGCUGAAUUCUUAAAGCUUGAUUCUGUUAGUCAGGACAGCUUCAUUGAUCCUACAGGAAUUACGUAUAUUCCACAAUGCUCCAAAGGGGAGGAAAUCCAAAGCACAAAUUUUUAAAUGGCAUAUUUAUGAAAAACACCUAGAGGAGGGCAUGGUCUUGCUUAUACUGGUGUAAAAUCACUUUGCUGUACUUAGUGGAGCUACUCAGGAUUUAGAGGGGUACAGCAAAAUGCAAAAACUAAGCCAAAUUCUCCUUUCAAGCCACUGCUUUUCCCGAAACAGAUACUGAAAGGUCAGAACCAAUACCAAUCUCUGCUACUCCAGACUUCCAACCCACAGCCCUAUCUAUCAAAAAUCCCACGUAUCCACAAGUGCUCGGGAAGCGUAUGCACCAGGGAGAGUACAAAAUCAUUACACUGCUGUGAACAUGAGCCAUAUUCAGCAGAAAUCAGCAGCUGUUACGACUACAGAGCUUUUCACUGCUUUUAUAGUUUGGGUGGAGAAGAAACAGGAUUCAAGCACUGCUCAUAACACAAGUUGUAUAUUGCCUUGAUCUUUAUCCUCCUCCCCCUCCUCCACCCUCCCCUCUUCGCUCUUCAGGGCCACUCUUUAAACAGAAAGAAGUCAUUAGCCAAACUUCCCUCAUUUUAUGGCCCCGACAGUUAGGUAACGACGAAGCAGUUUUAUUAUUUCUACUUGAGAGCAUUCGAUCGGGAAUUCAGAGACUCUUCUAAGGGGAAGAUAUCUGCCGGGGAAGGGGGACAGGCCGGCAAAGGGAGAAAACCCAAAUGUGCCCGAGUGCGGCGGAUCAUCUCCAUCAUUCCCGGCGCCCAGCUGACAGACCUCGUCCCCCUCCCUGGCCAAACCCUUGGCUGCAGAAGAUGCGUCCCGAGAGCCCCGCCAGCCAGCUCCUUACGGGGGUGGUGAAGCCAUGCAAACCAGAAGUGCCCAGAAAGGUGUUUGCCCGGUGGAGAGGUCCCCAUAGGAAAUACUUUUCCUGCCAUGUGGUCUCCUGCUUCUCCACUUUGUGAAAUGACUGAGAGACCUGGAUGGAUCCACCAAAGCUUUGUAAGAGGCCACUAGAAACUUGCAGGCUCUUUGCCUCCACUGGACAUGCCACAAAGCUUACAACAACUGCCAGCUCCCUGCUCUUCUGGGAUUUCAUGCUCAUGUACUGAGAAUGAAUGCUGAGCCACAGCUCAUUGUUCAAGAUCCCAAACAUCUGUUUGUGGGAUAGAGAUUCUGUGUAUCCAUACAAAUUAUUCUAAAAGUGACUUCCAUGUGAGCACAUUGUGACUUUUGCUCAAGACGUGGAUGUUUUUCCCACCCGCUGCAUCAUUGGAGUAGCAGAAAGACUUCAAACUGUGAGUGGUCAAAUGCUCAUUCAUUUAAUAUGUUUUCAUAACUGGAGAGAAGACUUACCUUCCUGUGCAGACAAAAAAAAACUAUCAUUAUCUUUCCCAUACUCUGACUUUUGAACAUCUCUAUUACCUACCCUGGAAAAAUAUUUACUUUAUAUUUACUUUCAGGAUCAUGACGUGGCAGUGAAAUAAGGCCUGAAGAGUGGAUAUCUGCCUAUUCCACCUCUUGACAGUAGAAAAGGGGCUUUACUUGCUGAUUUGUACAUUGGGACAUUUGUAUGUCUGCUUGCUAGUCUGCUUUUCUACAGUGGUGGUGAACUGUUCUCUUUAAACAAGACAAUCAAGCCGUCAGAAGAACUACUUGCAUGUGACAUUUUAGGAAAGUGGAGCAGUAAAGUUUUCCUGUUUCAGGGAUUGUUUCAGGAGUGGUUUUUUCAGCUUGAUCAGUAACAAGUAUGCCUUAGUGCAGAAGUGGUUCCUCUCUUCUCAUAAGCCUAGCCUAAGUACAGUUUCCAAAGGCUUGGGUUGUUCUGGUAUCACAGUGGUUGCACGUGCAGCAGAGGCAGAUUCCUGUCCUGAGAAGGUUGCAGUAACUGGCCUGGUGCCUUGUGAGAGUUCAGAGGAACUCAUAGGUGUUCAGCUGAUGGGUCAGGUUUCUAGACUGGAAAACCAGUGACAUUUAAUAAAUGCCAAACAAGUAAUAUUCUUUUUGUGUGUCAGGUGCAAUUAGCACAACACUAAAAAUACUCAGCAAUAUUCCAAUUGUCACAUAGAGAAGCAAUGAUGCAGAGUAGAAGUUACUGGAUUUCAAUGCAAAAAAAAAAAAAAAGAAAUUUCUACUUAUAAAAACACAUAUUUUGCUUGAUGCAUUCCUCUUGCUCAAGUCCCAUUCCUGAGCAGACAGUCAGCAGUGUAAUUUUUUCCCUAUUUUCAUCUUCAGUAGACAGGAACACAUGUUUUGUAACUACGAAGAUCAAAUGGUAGAGUACUA
This is a long non-coding RNA of Zonotrichia albicollis (white-throated sparrow), 2356 nucleotides long. RefSeq lists it as uncharacterized. The record is from RefSeq and is a predicted model, not a curated record. Lineage: Eukaryota; Metazoa; Chordata; Aves; Passeriformes; Passerellidae.